Mercurialis annua (annual mercury) is the source of this 622-nucleotide long non-coding RNA. RefSeq lists it as uncharacterized. The transcript is spliced from 2 exons. The record is from RefSeq and is a predicted model, not a curated record. NCBI's taxonomy places the organism in Eukaryota, Viridiplantae, Streptophyta, Magnoliopsida, Malpighiales, Euphorbiaceae.
UGUUUUAUGCUUCUCUUUUAUAACCCUUGAGGCUUUCACUUUUAGUUUUCCAGUACUUGGUUUUUUAAGUUAUUACUUCAUGUGAUUGAGUCCCUAUCUGUCUUUUCAUUCAAAUUGAAUAGCAUGUGAGUUUCUAAAUCCUCCCAAAAAUACCCUCACAUGGCCCCUUUUUAGCUUAUGCUCUCUACCCUUAUAUGGAAAAAUAGUGAGAUUCUUAUUUCACAUGCUUGUGUCAAGAUAUCAUUGUUUGCCCAUUACUGUCAGAAAUUACAUUAAAAAACGGGCAAAACUUCUUGAGGAAGUAGCUUCUUGAAGAAGUAGCUUCUUGAGAAAGUCUAUCCAGAUUAUUCAAAUGGUUGGUUGAAGAGUAUAUAAGUCAGAGGAUUUUCUGGUCAAGUUGCUCGAGGCAUACUUCGUGGUUAAUGAAUCUUUACAAGAAAAUAGUCGCAGUGGAAGCAUGGCGGUAUUAAUCAUCUUCAUAAAUGGACUUUCCUAAUAAAGUACAGUUAACAUAUGCACAUACAAACAAUAAGAUAAUUUAUUGUUUUGUAUUCAAAAAACUAUGUUUGUAUUUUGUUGUUAGACUAUAUAUUAAUUGUUUCAGUUUCAUUUUUGUUACCCA